RNAcentral lists this ribosomal RNA (467 nucleotides) under uncultured bacterium. RNAcentral's name for it is "partial 16S ribosomal RNA". It matches the Rfam family "Bacterial small subunit ribosomal RNA", at positions 29 to 507 of the family's 1533-position model. The record is from RNAcentral.
ACGAACGCUGGCGGCGUGCUUAACACCUGCAAGUCGCACGGAAAGGCCCUGCUUUUGUGGGGUGCUCGAGUGGCGAACGGGUGAGUGACACGUGAGUAACCUGCCCUUGACUUUGGGAUAACUUCAGGAAACUGGGGCUAAUACCGGAUAGGAGCUCCUGCUGCAUGGUGGGGGUUGGAAAGUUUCGGCGGUUGGGGAUGGACUCGCGGCUUAUCAGCUUGUUGGUGGGGUAGUGGCUUACCAAGGCUUUGACGGGUAGCCGGCCUGAGAGGGUGACCGGCCACAUUGGGACUGAGAUACGGCCCAGACUCCUACGGGAGGCAGCAGUGGGGAAUAUUGCACAAUGGGCGGAAGCCUGAUGCAGCAACGCCGCGUGCGGGAUGACGGCCUUCGGGUUGUAAACCGCUUUCGCCUGUGGCGAAGCGUGAGUGACGGUAAUGGGUAAAGAAGCACCGGCUAACUACGUG